AUGCUCACUUCGGCAGCAUAUAUACUAAGAUUGGAACAAUACAGAGAAAAUUAGCAUGGCCCCUGUGCAUGGAUGACACACAAAUUCAUGAAGCAUUCAUAUUUUUU
Molecule: small nuclear RNA, 107 nt
Filed under: Catagonus wagneri (Chacoan peccary)
Lineage: Eukaryota; Metazoa; Chordata; Mammalia; Artiodactyla; Tayassuidae
Source: RNAcentral